Dioscorea cayenensis subsp. rotundata (Guinea yam) is the source of this 1082-nucleotide long non-coding RNA. RefSeq lists it as uncharacterized. The record is from RefSeq and is a predicted model, not a curated record. NCBI's taxonomy places the organism in Eukaryota, Viridiplantae, Streptophyta, Magnoliopsida, Dioscoreales, Dioscoreaceae. The transcript has 5 exons.
AAUGGGUUUGGUUUCUACUUUAUACUGGCCUUGGCCUAUGUAGAAUAGCACUCCGCCUACGUGGAAUUUCUUGAAUUUUAAUAACUAAACAAAAAUAAUUUUGCACAUACACCACCAUGAUCAUGAUCUCUUGAAUUUUGAAUUUACUUAAAUAUUCCCGCUUGUUUCAUCGAAAUCAAAGAUGACUUCAUCACCUCAAACCCUGACCCUAGCUACUGGUAGUGGCGACGGCGGAGGACCCUCUUCCGGCAAGACGAGCUUCGAAACACACGCCUGGGAUUAGUAGUGGGAAAACAAUGUUACAGAGCCGAUGGUAUACAAUGCAUUGCUCUUCGUGUGAAACAAAUUAUAGCACGCAAAACAGGUUAGCUGGAAUAUUGCAGGUGUGUCCAUAUGAUGUCUGCUAAAUUCGUUUGUGUGCAUCCUGAAUUUCACUACUCGUCUUUAGUGUCAAUCAGCUAUUGAUUGCGAUGAUAAUUCUUGGAAGCAAUGUGGAACAAAACUUCCUUUUUUCUUUGGAUCCUUUCUUUGAAAGGUGUGAAGUUCGGUGACAUGCCUCAGAAAAAGAGCCGGAAGAACCUAGUCAAAUUAUUCGGCGAUUAUAUGCCUCUUUGGCUCUGGUGUUGGAAUUUUCAUCAUCAGUGAAACUCCAUUCCACUACGGCCUUGUCAUGAAUGCUGUACUAUAUACACGGUACAUGUUAUCAUCCGCCAAAUGUAUGACUAGACGUGGUGUUUAGUCAUGCAAACUGCAUCAACGUCUAUCUACAGUGUGUCACCGUGUGAAAGAUCUCACUUUAUUCUGAUAGUGCCAUCUUCACUUCACUAUUGUUUGAAGAUUACUCUUCUGUGUUUUUCUUACCCUCUUUCAUAUAAUAGCUCUUUCAUACUUCAUUGUAGUAAUAAUGGCUAUUCUCUCUGAAUGCUUUUGCAGGCUGUGCAAUAAUAGGAUCAAGCUGGCUGCUCAACGUGCUGGCAUGCACAUAAAGCAUCACCCUUUUUUUUGCGCAUUGUCAUUUAUUGAUUUUUAAUUGUCUGUUAUUUCUGUCCCUUUAUCCUAUAAUGUUGGAAUAAAAAAAAACC